CACCGCGGUUAUACGAGAGACCCAAGUUGAUGAAAAACGGCGUAAAGCGUGGUUAAGAAAAUAAAAGAAAUAGGGCCGAACAACCUCAAAGCAGUUAUACGCAUUCGAGGUCACGAAGCACAAUCACGAAAGUGGCCCUACUUAACCCCUGAUUCCACGAAAGCCAUAAAA
Molecule: ribosomal RNA, 171 nt
Filed under: Molva dypterygia (blue ling)
Lineage: Eukaryota; Metazoa; Chordata; Actinopteri; Gadiformes; Lotidae
Description: partial 12S rRNA
Source: RNAcentral